GGGUUGUGAGGUUAAGCGACUAAGCGUACACGGUGGAUGCCCUGGCAGUCAGAGGCGAUGAAGGGCGUGCUAAUCUGCGAUAAGCGCCGGUAAGGUGAUAUGAACCGUUAUAACCGGCGAUACCCGAAUGGGGAAACCCAGUGUGACUCGUCACACUAUCAUUAACUGAAUCCAUAGGUUAAUGAGGCGAACCGGGGGAACUGAAACAUCUAAGUACCCCGAGGAAAAGAAAUCAACCGAGAUUCCCCCAGUAGCGGCGAGCGAACGGGGAGGAGCCCAGAGCCUGAAUCAGCAUGUGUGUUAGUGGAAGCGUCUGGAAAGGCGCGCGAUACAGGGUGACAGCCCCGUACACAAAAGCGCAUGUGCUGUGAGCUCGAUGAGUAGGGCGGGACACGUGGUAUCCUGUCUGAAUAUGGGGGGACCAUCCUCCAAGGCUAAAUACUCCUGACUGACCGAUAGUGAACCAGUACCGUGAGGGAAAGGCGAAAAGAACCCCGGCGAGGGGAGUGAAAAAGAACCUGAAACCGUGUACGUACAAGCAGUGGGAGCCCCACCACCAAAGCAUUCUCUGGUGUUGAAGGCCCUGCAAAGCAGCAUCGCGGUGGCGGAGCGUCGUUUGCGACGCCCAACACACAAAACAAGCGGUGAAUGCUUUGGGGUGGGGUGACUGCGUACCUUUUGUAUAAUGGGUCAGCGACUUAUAUUCUGUAGCAAGGUUAACCGAAUAGGGGAGCCGGAGGGAAACCGAGUCUUAAUUGGGCGUUAAGUUGCAGGGUAUAGACCCGAAACCCGGUGAUCUAGCCAUGGGCAGGUUGAAGGUUGGGUAACACUAACUGGAGGACCGAACCGACUAAUGUUGAAAAAUUAGCGGAUGACCUGUGGCUGGGGGUGAAAGGCCAAUCAAACCGGGAGAUAGCUGGUUCUCCCCGAAAGCUAUUUAGGUAGCGCCUCGUGAAUUCAUCUCCGGGGGUAGAGCACUGUUUCGGCUAGGGGGCCAUCCCGGCUUACCAACCCGAUGCAAACUGCGAAUACCGGAGAAUGUUAUCACGGGAGACACACGGCGGGUGCUAACGUCCGUCGUGAAGAGGGAAACAACCCAGACCGCCAGCUAAGGUCCCAAAGUCAUGGUUAAGUGGGAAACGAUGUGGGAAGGCCCAGACAGCCAGGAUGUUGGCUUAGAAGCAGCCAUCAUUUAAAGAAAGCGUAAUAGCUCACUGGUCGAGUCGGCCUGCGCGGAAGAUGUAACGGGGCUAAACCAU
Molecule: ribosomal RNA, 1259 nt
Filed under: Salmonella enterica
Lineage: Bacteria; Pseudomonadati; Pseudomonadota; Gammaproteobacteria; Enterobacterales; Enterobacteriaceae
Also listed under: 2 other names
Description: partial 23S ribosomal RNA
Rfam family: Bacterial large subunit ribosomal RNA
Source: RNAcentral